Molecule: ribosomal RNA, 212 nt
Filed under: Enterococcus faecalis
Lineage: Bacteria; Bacillati; Bacillota; Bacilli; Lactobacillales; Enterococcaceae
Description: partial 16S ribosomal RNA
Rfam family: Bacterial small subunit ribosomal RNA
Source: RNAcentral
AUCGCUAGUAAUCGCGGAUCAGCACGCCGCGGUGAAUACGUUCCCGGGCCUUGUACACACCGCCCGUCACACCACGAGAGUUUGUAACACCCGAAGUCGGUGAGGUAACCUUUUUGGAGCCAGCCGCCUAAGGUGGGAUAGAUGAUUGGGGUGAAGUCGUAACAAGGUAGCCGUAUCGGAAGGUGCGGCUGGAUCACCUCCUUUCUAAGGAA